This 253-nucleotide ribosomal RNA is filed under the name uncultured bacterium. Its description in RNAcentral is "partial 16S ribosomal RNA". It matches the Rfam family "Bacterial small subunit ribosomal RNA", at positions 524 to 776 of the family's 1533-position model. The record is from RNAcentral.
GACGAACCGUGCGAACGUUGUUCGGAAUCACUGGGCUUAAAGGGCGCGUAGGCGGCUUGCCAAGUCAGGGGUGAAAUCCUGCAGCUUAACUGUAGAAGGGCCUUUGAUACUGGCGAGCUCGAGGGAGGUAGGGGUAUGUGGAACUUCCGGUGGAGCGGUGAAAUGCGUUGAUAUCGGAAGGAACGCCGGUGGCGAAAGCACGCUGCUGGGCAGUCACUGACGCUGAGAGACGAAAGCGAGGGGAGCGAAUGGG